UUACCCUACUGAUGCCCGCGU
Molecule: small RNA, 21 nt
Filed under: Arabidopsis thaliana (thale cress)
Lineage: Eukaryota; Viridiplantae; Streptophyta; Magnoliopsida; Brassicales; Brassicaceae
Description: AGO1_2365
Source: RNAcentral